Molecule: ribosomal RNA, 252 nt
Filed under: uncultured bacterium
Lineage: Bacteria
Description: partial 16S ribosomal RNA
Rfam family: Bacterial small subunit ribosomal RNA
Source: RNAcentral
UACGUAGGGCGCGAGCGUUGUCCGGAAUUAUUGGGCGUAAAGAGCUCGUAGGCGGCUUGUCGCGUCGGAUGUGAAAGCCCGGGGCUUAACUCCGGGUCUGCAUUCGAUACGGGCAGGCUAGAGUGUGGUAGGGGAGAUCGAAUUCCUGGUGUAGCGGUGAAAUGCGCAGAUAUCAGGAGGAACACCGGUGGCGAAGGCGGAUCUCUGGGCCAUUACUGACGCUGAGGAGCGAAAGCGUGGGGAGCGAACAGG